GAGUUUGAUCUUGGCUCAGAACGAACGCUGGCGGCAGGCCUAACACAUGCAAGUCGAACGCCCAGCAAUGGGAGUGGCGCACGGGUGCGUAACGCGUGGGAAUAUGCCCUUGACUACGGGACAACGUUUGGAAACGAACGCUAAUACCGUAUAAUGACUCCGGUCCAAAGAUUUAUCGGUCAAGGAUUAGCCCGCGUCAGAUUAGCUAGUUGGUGAGGUAACGGCUCACCAAGGCGACGAUCUGUAGCUGGUCUGAGAGGAUGAUCAGCCACACUGGAACUGAGACACGGUCCAGACUCCUACGGGAGGCAGCAGUGAGGAAUAUUGGACAAUGGGCGCAAGCCUGAUCCAGCCAUGCCGCGUGAGUGACGAAGGCCUUCGGUGUAAGCUCUUUAGAUGUGAAGAUAAUAGACGGUAGCAUCAGAAAAAGA
RNAcentral lists this ribosomal RNA (431 nucleotides) under uncultured Alphaproteobacteria bacterium. RNAcentral's name for it is "bacterial SSU rRNA". It matches the Rfam family "Bacterial small subunit ribosomal RNA", at positions 9 to 491 of the family's 1533-position model. The record is from RNAcentral. Lineage: Bacteria; Pseudomonadati; Pseudomonadota; Alphaproteobacteria.